This 174-nucleotide ribosomal RNA is filed under the name uncultured Streptomyces sp. Its description in RNAcentral is "partial 16S ribosomal RNA". It matches the Rfam family "Bacterial small subunit ribosomal RNA", at positions 338 to 524 of the family's 1533-position model. Lineage: Bacteria; Bacillati; Actinomycetota; Actinomycetes; Kitasatosporales; Streptomycetaceae. The record is from RNAcentral.
CCUACGGGAGGCAGCAGUGGGGAAUAUUGCACAAUGGGCGAAAGCCUGAUGCAGCGACGCCGCGUGACGGAUGACGGCCUUCCGGUUGUAAACCUCUUUCAGCAGGGAAGAAGCGAAAGUGACGGUACCUGCAGAAGAAGCGCCGGCUAACUACGUGCCAGCAGCCGCGGUAAU